UACGUAGGGGGCAAGCGUUGUCCGGAAUCAUUGGACGUAAAGCGCGUGUAGGCGGUUCAGUAAGUCUGCUGUGAAAGUCCAGGGCUCAACCCUGGGAUGCCGGUGGAUACUGCUGGGCUAGAGUACGGAAGAGGCGAGUGGAAUUCCCGGUGUAGCGGUGAAAUGCGCAGAUAUCGGGAGGAACACCUAUUGCGAAGGCAGCUCGCUGGGACGUUACUGACGCUGAGACGCGAAAGCGUGGGGAGCAAACAGG
This 253-nucleotide ribosomal RNA is filed under the name uncultured bacterium. RNAcentral's name for it is "partial 16S ribosomal RNA". It matches the Rfam family "Bacterial small subunit ribosomal RNA", at positions 524 to 776 of the family's 1533-position model. The record is from RNAcentral.